AUGCAUGUUCAGCGAUGGAUCCAAGAUUCAAAAGUCUGCCCUUCCUGACUGAAAAUGAAAGACAGGAAGUUUAUGAUGGACUGAUGGCUGCAAGACUGAGCAUGCAGCCAUCAGAGUCACUUUGAAGUGUGGAUGAAGAGGGGACAGCAAAUGCUUGUGCUGAUGAUGAGGGGAUGGCAUCUAAAGAAGACGAAGAUGAAGGAGAGCAAUUCAUGGAAGGAGAGAGCAGUCAAGGUCAGUGUCAUCCACCCAGGAAUCCAAGGCCGUCUUGUCCACUGGCUGCCCUUCUUGGUGAACGAUACGGUGGUGGUGCAGCAUGACCCAAGACAAAUACCCAAGAGGACGAGGCCAAG
Molecule: long non-coding RNA, 353 nt
Organism: Micropterus dolomieu (smallmouth bass)
Lineage: Eukaryota; Metazoa; Chordata; Actinopteri; Centrarchiformes; Centrarchidae
Exons: 3
Source: RefSeq, a predicted model, not a curated record